Molecule: ribosomal RNA, 728 nt
Filed under: Enterobacter sp. INBio3010B
Lineage: Bacteria; Pseudomonadati; Pseudomonadota; Gammaproteobacteria; Enterobacterales; Enterobacteriaceae
Description: bacterial SSU rRNA
Rfam family: Bacterial small subunit ribosomal RNA
Source: RNAcentral
UUGAACGCUGGCGGCAGGCCUAACACAUGCAAGUCGAACGGUAGCACAGAGGAGCUUGCUCCUUGGGUGACGAGUGGCGGACGGGUGAGUAAUGUCUGGGAAACUGCCUGAUGGAGGGGGAUAACUACUGGAAACGGUAGCUAAUACCGCAUAACGUCGCAAGACCAAAGAGGGGGACCUUCGGGCCUCUUGCCAUCAGAUGUGCCCAGAUGGGAUUAGCUAGUAGGUGGGGUAAUGGCUCACCUAGGCGACGAUCCCUAGCUGGUCUGAGAGGAUGACCAGCCACACUGGAACUGAGACACGGUCCAGACUCCUACGGGAGGCAGCAGUGGGGAAUAUUGCACAAUGGGCGCAAGCCUGAUGCAGCCAUGCCGCGUGUAUGAAGAAGGCCUUCGGGUUGUAAAGUACUUUCAGCGGGGAGGAAGGCGAUACGGUUAAUAACCGUGUCGAUUGACGUUACCCGCAGAAGAAGCACCGGCUAACUCCGUGCCAGCAGCCGCGGUAAUACGGAGGGUGCAAGCGUUAAUCGGAAUUACUGGGCGUAAAGCGCACGCAGGCGGUCUGUCAAGUCGGAUGUGAAAUCCCCGGGCUCAACCUGGGAACUGCAUUCGAAACUGGCAGGCUUGAGUCUUGUAGAGGGGGGUAGAAUUCCAGGUGUAGCGGUGAAAUGCGUAGAGAUCUGGAGGAAUACCGGUGGCGAAGGCGGCCCCCUGGACAAAGACUACGCU